GCGUUGACCAGCCUCGUGCCAUUUAUUGGGAAAUAAUUCAUGAGUACUAUCAUUUGCACAAGGAAUUUGAUAAUGACCGCAACUGCAAUUGUCUCGCUCACCGUUGGGGUAUUAUCCUAGAAAUGGUCAACAAAUUCCGUGGAUGGUAUGGUCAUGUUCAAAGAAGGGCCCAAAGCGGAACGACGGAGCAAGAUAAAGUACUGCAAACUUGUGACGUGUUCAAAAACGAGGAAGAGAAAUCAUUCACUUUGCUGCAUCGUUGGAAUAUCUUGAAGCAUAAACAGAAAUAGCAUGAGGCAUGUGCUAAUAAGAACAGGAUAUUGUGUGUGCGCUAUGUGUAAUGCUGAAAGGAUGAGUUCGUCGUCAUCAUCUGACGACGACGAGGAGUCCAAGCGAGACAAAGAACUCAUUUCAGUAGGAGAGGGAAGAAUGAUUUGGUGUGGGAA
Long non-coding RNA from Panicum virgatum (switchgrass), 446 nucleotides. RefSeq lists it as uncharacterized. NCBI's taxonomy places the organism in Eukaryota, Viridiplantae, Streptophyta, Magnoliopsida, Poales, Poaceae. The transcript has 2 exons. The record is from RefSeq and is a predicted model, not a curated record.